Molecule: ribosomal RNA, 860 nt
Filed under: uncultured Planctomycetota bacterium
Lineage: Bacteria; Pseudomonadati; Planctomycetota
Description: bacterial SSU rRNA
Rfam family: Bacterial small subunit ribosomal RNA
Source: RNAcentral
CAAGUCGAACGAAUCCCAUCUGGGUAACUGGAUGGGGGAAGUGGCGAAAGGGGCAGUAAGGCGUGGGUAACCUACCCUGGGGACGGGGAUAGCCUUCCUAACGGAAGGGUAAUACCCGGCGAGCUGAUUGAGGGGCAUCUCUUGAUCAGGAAAGGAAUUUCGCCUUGGGAGGGGCUCACGUAGUAUUAGCUAGUUGGUAGGGUAACGGCCUACCAAGGCCAAGAUGCUUAGCAGGUGUGAGAGCACGACCUGCGCCACUGGCACUGCGACACUGGCCAGACUCCUACGGGAGGCUGCAGUCGAGGAUCUUCGGCAAUGGGCGCAAGCCUGACCGAGCGACGCCGCGUGUGCGAUGAAGGCCUUCGGGUUGUAAAGCACUGUCGAGGGGGAGGAAAGCCCGCAAGGGUUUGACUAAUCCCUGGAGGAAGCACGGGCUAAGUUCGUGCCAGCAGCCGCGGUAAGACGAACCGUGCGAACGUUGUUCGGAAUCACUGGGCUUAAAGGGCGCGUAGGCGGGCGAUCAAGUCAGGGGUGAAAUCUUUCGGCUCAACCGGAAAACAGCUUCUGAUACUGGUCGUCUUGAGUGAGGUAGGGGCAUGUGGAACUUCCGGUGGAGCGGUGAAAUGCGUAGAUAUCGGAAGGAACGCCGGUGGCGAAAGCGACGUGCUGGACCUCUUCUGACGCUGAGGCGCGAAAGCUAGGGGAGCAAACGGGAUUAGAUACCCCGGUAGUCCUAGCCCUAAACGAUGGGUACUAGAUUGUGGACUAAACAUGGGUUCACAGUCGAAGCAAAAGUGUUAAGUACCCCGCCUGGGGAGUAUGGUCGCAAGGCUGAAACUCAAAGGAAUUGACGGGGGCUC